RNAcentral lists this ribosomal RNA (397 nucleotides) under uncultured bacterium. Its description in RNAcentral is "partial 16S ribosomal RNA". It matches the Rfam family "Bacterial small subunit ribosomal RNA", at positions 523 to 918 of the family's 1533-position model. The record is from RNAcentral.
AUACGUAGGGGGCGAGCGUUGUCCGGAAUGAUUGGGCGUAAAGGGCGCGUAGGCGGCCUGUUAAGUCUGGAGUGAAAGUCCUGUUUUCAAGAUGGGAAUUGCUUUGGAUACUGAUGGGCUUGAGUGCAGGAGAGGUUAUCGGAAUUCCCGGUGUAGCGGUGAAAUGCGUAGAGAUCGGGAGGAACACCAGUGGCGAAGGCGGGUAACUGUACUGCAGCUGACGCUGAGGCGCGAAAGUGUGGGGAGCAAACAGGAUUAGAUACCCUGGUAGUCCACACUGUAAACGAUGAAUGCUAGGUGUAAGAGGUAUCGACCCCUUUUGUGCCGGAGUUAACACAAUAAGCAUUCCGCCUGGGGAGUACGGCCGCAAGGUUGAAACUCAAAGGAAUUGACGGGG